AGUGAACGCUGGCGGUAGGCCUAAUACAUGCAAGUCGAACGGCAGCACAGUAAGAGCUUGCUCUUACGGGUGGCGAGUGGCGGACGGGUGAGGAAUACAUCGGAAUCUACUUUUUCGUGGGGGAUAACGUAGGGAAACUUACGCUAAUACCGCAUACGACCUACGGGUGAAAGCAGGGGAUCUUCGGACCUUGCGCGAUUGAAUGAGCCGAUGUCGGAUUAGCUAGUUGGCGAGGUAAAGGCCCACCAAGGCGACGAUCCGUAGCUGGUCUGAGGGGAUGAUCAGCCACACUGGAACUGAGACACGGUCCAGACUCCUACGGGAGGCAGCAGUGGGGAAUAUUGGACAAUGGGCGCAAGCCUGAUCCAGCCAUACCGCGUGGGUGAAGAAGGCCUUCGGGUUGUAAAGCCCUUUUGUUGGGAAAGAAAAGCAGCAGGUUAAUACCCCGCUGUUCUGACGGUACCCAAAGAAUAAGCACCGGCUAACUUCGUG
Molecule: ribosomal RNA, 492 nt
Filed under: uncultured bacterium
Lineage: Bacteria
Description: partial 16S ribosomal RNA
Rfam family: Bacterial small subunit ribosomal RNA
Source: RNAcentral